RNAcentral lists this ribosomal RNA (248 nucleotides) under uncultured bacterium. Its description in RNAcentral is "partial 16S ribosomal RNA". It matches the Rfam family "Bacterial small subunit ribosomal RNA", at positions 524 to 771 of the family's 1533-position model. The record is from RNAcentral.
UACGGGGGGGGGCAAGCGUUGUUCGGAAUUACUGGGCGUAAAGGGUGCGUAGGCGGUCCGCUAAGUUGGAUGUGAAAACUCUGGGCUUAACCCAGAGCCUGCAUUCAAAACUGACGGGCUAGAGUUCUGGAGGGGGUAGCGGAAUUCCUGGUGUAGCGGUGAAAUGCGUAGAUAUCAGGAGGAACACCGGUGGCGAAGGCGGCUACCUGGACAGAAACUGACGCUGAGGCACGAAAGCUAGGGAGCAA